UAAAAGAUUUAUGUGAAUGGAAUGGUGGAGAGUUGGAGUCUUGGAGCCUUGAAUUGAAGGCUUGAAGCAGGAUGGUAGAAUCUCAACUGAAGCUUCUUGGAGUUCUUGGAGCCUGGCGUCUUCUUCUUGGAGUUGGAGUCUUGUUUGCCCUUUGGCACUGGCGGCGUGCUUUUGCAUCAGAUGAAGCCUUAGGGCUUCAUCUGAUGUAUUUUUUUUUUCCCCUCAUUAUACAAAACGACGUCGUUCCACUAAAAGUGAAACGACGUCGUUUUGUAUUUAGAGGGCAAAAAAAAAAUUCAAAAUGAAAUGGGUCAUCUUCUUCCUCAGCAGUCAGCACGGCAGCGGCUUUCCAGCUCUUCUUCACUUCCUCUGCAGCAUUCAUGGAGCCAUGGAGGAUGG
Molecule: long non-coding RNA, 399 nt
Filed under: Coffea arabica (coffee)
Lineage: Eukaryota; Viridiplantae; Streptophyta; Magnoliopsida; Gentianales; Rubiaceae
Description: long non-coding RNA (CARA_LNC002428)
Source: RNAcentral